GAGUUUGAUCAUGGUUCAGGACGAACGCUGGCGGCGUGCUUAACACAUGCAAGUCGAACGGAACACCCUUGACAGAGGUUUCGGCCAAUGAAGAGGAAUGUUUAGUGGCGGACUGGUGAGUAACGCGUGAGGAACCUGCCUUUCAGAAAGGGGACAACAGUUGGAAACGACUGCUAAUACCGCAUGAAGCAGCGAGGGGACAUCCCCUUGCUGUCAAAGAUUUAUCGCUGAAAGAUGGCCUCGCGUCUGAUUAGCUAGUUGGUGAGGUAACGGCCCACCAAGGCGACGAUCAGUAGCCGGACUGAGAGGUUGACCGGCCACAUUGGGACUGAGAUACGGCCCAGACUCCUACGGGAGGCAGCAGUGGGGAAUAUUGGGCAAUGGACGCAAGUCUGACCCAGCAACGCCGCGUGAAGG
RNAcentral lists this ribosomal RNA (417 nucleotides) under uncultured Oscillibacter sp. RNAcentral describes it as "bacterial SSU rRNA". It matches the Rfam family "Bacterial small subunit ribosomal RNA", at positions 9 to 407 of the family's 1533-position model. Lineage: Bacteria; Bacillati; Bacillota; Clostridia; Eubacteriales; Oscillospiraceae. The record is from RNAcentral.